AAGCGUGUGCCCUCAUUAUAGUUGGGAUUUUUUAGAUCAGCAGUUAUUGAUAUAUAUAUGUAUCGUAAAUCUUCUACUGGCCUACUAAGUCUCAAUAUAAUGGGAGUAAAAACCUCAGU
RNAcentral lists this microRNA precursor (119 nucleotides) under Drosophila virilis. RNAcentral describes it as "microRNA dvi-mir-193 precursor". Its record names the gene dvi-mir-193. The stretch from base 13 to 103 matches the Rfam family "mir-193 microRNA precursor family". The record is from miRBase by way of RNAcentral. Lineage: Eukaryota; Metazoa; Arthropoda; Insecta; Diptera; Drosophilidae.